AAAUCUUCUGAUAAGUCAUAGCUUCUAACUAUGUAGUAGUAACUACCGUUACUAAGAUUUU
Molecule: transfer RNA, 61 nt
Filed under: Bemisia tabaci
Lineage: Eukaryota; Metazoa; Arthropoda; Insecta; Hemiptera; Aleyrodidae
Description: tRNA-Ser
Source: RNAcentral